RNAcentral lists this ribosomal RNA (590 nucleotides) under uncultured bacterium. Its description in RNAcentral is "partial 16S ribosomal RNA". It matches the Rfam family "Bacterial small subunit ribosomal RNA", at positions 355 to 1375 of the family's 1533-position model. The record is from RNAcentral.
UGGGGAAUAUUGCACAAUGGGCGCAAGCCUGAUGCAGCCAUGCCGCGUGUGUGAAGAAGGCCUUCGGGUUGUAAAGCACUUUCAGCGAGGAGGAAGGUGGUGAGCUUAAUACGCUCAUCAAUUGACGUUACUCGCAGAAGAAGCACCGGCUAACUCCGUGCCAGCAGCCGCGGUAAUACGGAGGGUGCAAGCGUUAAUCGGAAUUACUGGGCGUAAAGCGCACGCAGGCGGUUUGUUAAGUCAGAUGUGAAAUCCCCGGGCUCAACCUGGGAACUGCAUUUGAAACUGGCAAGCUAGAGUCUCGUAGAGGGGGGUAGAAUUCCAGGUGUAGCGGUGAAAUGCGUAGAGAUCUGGAGGAAUACCGGUGGCGAAGGCGGCCCCCUGGACGAAGACUGACGCUCAGGUGCGAAAGCGUGGGGCAGCAAACAGGAUUAGAUACCCUGGUAGUCCAGCGCUGUAAACGAUGUCGAUUUUGGAGGUUGUGCCCCUUGAGGCGUGGCUUCCGGAGCUAACGCGUUAAAUCGACCGCCUGGGGAGUACGGCCGCAAGGUUAAAACUCAAAUGAAUUGACGGGGUCAUAGCUGUUUCCU